RNAcentral lists this ribosomal RNA (580 nucleotides) under Vishniacozyma victoriae. RNAcentral's name for it is "partial large subunit ribosomal RNA". It matches the Rfam family "Eukaryotic large subunit ribosomal RNA", at positions 62 to 632 of the family's 3401-position model. The record is from RNAcentral. Lineage: Eukaryota; Fungi; Basidiomycota; Tremellomycetes; Tremellales; Bulleribasidiaceae.
AAACUAACUAGGAUUCCCUUAGUAACGGCGAGUGAACCGGGAUGAGCUCAAAUUUAAAAUCUGGCGUCUUUCAGGCGUCCGAGUUGUAAUCUAUAGAGGCGUUUUCCGCGCCGGACCGCGUCCAAGUCUCUUGGAAUAGAGUAUCAAAGAGGGUGACAAUCCCGUACUUGACGCGACAACCGGUGCUCUGUGAUACGUUCUCAAUGAGUCGAGUUGUUUGGGAAUGCAGCUCUAAAUGGGUGGUAAAUUCCAUCUAAGGCUAAAUAUUGGCGAGAGACCGAUAGCGAACAAGUACCGUGAGGGAAAGAUGAAAAGCACUUUGGAAAGAGAGUUAAACAGCACGUGAAAUUGUUAAAAGGGAAACGAUUGAAGUCAGUCGUGUGAAAGGUAUUCAGCCGUCUCUGGCGGUGUAUUUGCCUUUCACGGGUCAACAUCAGUUUGAUCCGGUAGAAAAAGGCGGGAGGAAGGUGGCACCCUCGGGUGUGUUAUAGCCUCCUGUCAUAUGUGCCGGACCAGACUGAGGAACGCAGCUUGCCGCAAGGCCGGGGUUCGCCCACGUACAAGCUUAGGAUGUUGACAU